GAUUGAACUAUGCUUGAACAGAACGAAGGCAGAAGAAACUGGUGGAGGUUCUUGGCGGUGUUGAUGUACAAAUCACUCGUCAGAUUUGCAUAUAGAGGUGAAAGACUAAUUGAAUCGUCUAUUA
RNAcentral lists this non-coding RNA (124 nucleotides) under Soboliphyme baturini. RNAcentral describes it as "Eukaryotic large subunit ribosomal RNA". It matches the Rfam family "Eukaryotic large subunit ribosomal RNA", at positions 825 to 949 of the family's 3401-position model. Lineage: Eukaryota; Metazoa; Nematoda; Enoplea; Dioctophymatida; Soboliphymatidae. The record is from Rfam by way of RNAcentral.